This 253-nucleotide ribosomal RNA is filed under the name uncultured bacterium. RNAcentral's name for it is "partial 16S ribosomal RNA". It matches the Rfam family "Bacterial small subunit ribosomal RNA", at positions 524 to 776 of the family's 1533-position model. The record is from RNAcentral.
GACAGAGGUGCCAAGCGUUAGGCGGAAUCACUGGGCUUAAAGCGUGUGUAGGCGGGUCGUUAAGUGUCUUGUGAAAUCCCCCGGCUCAACCGGGGAAUGGCUGGGCAUACUGGCGAUCUUGAGCAGUCUAGGGGCAGAUGGAACAGACGGUGGAGCGGUGAAAUGCGUGGAUAUCGUCUGGAACGCCAAAGGUGAAAACAGUCUGCUGGGGACUUGCUGACGCUGAGACACGAAAGCCAGGGGAGCGAACGGG